This is a non-coding RNA of Paramuricea clavata, 434 nucleotides long. The record is from the annotation of a GenBank genome assembly. NCBI's taxonomy places the organism in Eukaryota, Metazoa, Cnidaria, Anthozoa, Malacalcyonacea, Plexauridae.
GACCGAAUAAGUUUCGAAACAAUGCGACGGCAAAAAAUGCAAAAAUCCUGAUUUUCGUAAUAGAAUCUUGGAUUUAUCAUGUAGGCCCCGCCUGCGCUAGGUAUGCGUUAGCAAUCUAGAUCUCCUAUAUCUAUGAUUUAAUCCUCCCCCGUGCCCUCCAAAAUCCUGCCCGUGGCAGGCCCAUAAAACUGAGGGCCUGCCACGCAGGCUACCCCACAUCAAGAGUAAAAUAUCGCAGUUGGUUAUUCGAUGGUGAUUUGAUGAUGGUAUUUUAAAUUAGUGGACUAAAAUUCUGUCACCUGUUGGUCACGUGGGUUUCGGCUUAUCUUGUCUUUUCUUUGAUGCGCUAUGCAAGCGUUUUCUUCGCAAGCUCAGAUGAUUAUUGUACAGCCAUUUUUCACCGUGCUCAUGGAAUAACUAUGAAACCAAAAAGG